Molecule: non-coding RNA, 1691 nt
Organism: Punica granatum (pomegranate)
Lineage: Eukaryota; Viridiplantae; Streptophyta; Magnoliopsida; Myrtales; Lythraceae
Source: RefSeq, a predicted model, not a curated record
AGCUGUGUGCUUUCCUCUCUGCAACGCAGACUCCUUUCCUUUAUAUCUCCUGACCGUUUUGUCCCCUCCUCCUCAGUUCACCUUCUCCACUCUCUCUCUCUCUCUCUCUCUCUCUCUCUCUAUGCACGAAGUCAUGGAGCUUGACUGAUUCGGAAGAAUCGCAACCCAGGGGAGCAAGAAGGAGGAGGAGAAGGUCGGAAGGUGUACAAUGGGGUGCUUCCCCGGUUGCUUCGGUAAGAAACGGGGGAAGCAGCGGCGCAGAGUCCAUGUUCAGGCCGGCGACCAGAGGGCUGCGAGUGUCCAACCCGCGCAAUUUGUUCCGGUUCCUGUCCAAGAUAAUGCAGUGGAGCCUGUAAAUUUAGUUUCUGAGACCAGCUGUAAGCCCGAGAAGGAGAAGUCGAGCCCCAUUGCUCGGAAGAGAGUCACAUUCGAUACGAAUGUCCAGACCAUUGAGCAUGUUGAAGUACCGGACUCUGCAGCUGAGGUCGAGGAAGUAGGUAAGGAAGGGGAAAAUGAGGAGAGUAGCAUGAUACGACCACUCUUGUCUGAAUAUUCCUCCGAGGAUGUUUCCUUCGCCUCGAGCGUGGGGUCCUAUACCCCAAAUAAUCGAUACGAGAAUUGCAGAGAGAGUGACGAUGAAGAUUUGGGCUCGGAUUGUGGUGACAGCGACCUAGAAGAUGAUUAUGAGGAUGACUUGGAUGACGAUGGUGAUGGAGAUGAUUUCGACUGUCUCGAUGAGGAUUACGAUAAAAUUGAUCGAUCAAGGGUGAAUCAGGGGAUCCUGGACAAGAGUAACGGCCCUGUGCAGAACCCAGACAGACUGAAUUUGAAUGCACUGGAUAGGAGUGCCUUUGUUCAUCCUGUCCUGAAACCGAUAGAGAACUUGACACAGUGGAAAGCUGCCAAAGCAAAAGGGCACCCACCGGCUAAGCAUCGCAACCGUAAGGAAGAUUUGAGCUUUGAUCAAGAGUCAAGGAUCUCGUUCGGAACCGAACCGGAUUUCAAUGGAGGUUCAUUCAGUUGAAAUCCAAACCUGCUGAGUCCAAUAAGUCAUCUUCUCGAGAAAUUUCCGUGGAUGCUAGCCUCUCGAACUGGCUGGUUUCAUCCGAGAGCACGCCGAUUGAUAAGAAGAGCCCCAAAUCUAUCUGCUCCUCUCCAAAGAGUACAUGCCGAGGAUCGAACUCCCCCUUUAGAAGCCAAGAAGAUAGACCGAUCUUAGGGGCGCUUACAGUCGAAGAACUUAGACAGUUCUCAGCCACAAAUUCACCGAGGAAGUCUCCGAGUCGAAGCCCGGACGAGAUUCCCAUCAUUGGGACGGUAGGAACCUACUGGAAUCACUCUGCUGGAGGAUCAGCCAAGAACAACUCUUCUCGUUCAGCUUGUUCGUUCAAAGGGAUUCCAAACACGACCAGCAAGUACCAAGAGGACAAGAAGGUGAAUUGGCAUUCGACUCCCUUUGAGACAAGAUUGGAGAGAGCUCUGAACAAGGGUGCUGCUGCUGAUCAAGCUUGUGUCUUGUGAGCAUUUCAGUGUCUUUGAUGAGUGUGUGUGGUUAAAGUUGGAUUGAAAAAAAAAAAAAACCAUUUUGUUGAUUCUUUAUGUGAAUGCGUUUACGUUGUGAUAUAGUACAUGGCUGGAUGAUGUAAGUUUCGAUAUUGGUGGUUUGCACAAUGAAUGAGCUUUUACGUAUA